AAAAUCUUGGGGGAAAACCUCAAAUAGAAAUAUUUCAACAGGUGGGAACAGACGAGAUAAUGGUGUAAGCAGUAAUGAGGAGCUGAACUAUGCAGAUGUUAGGUUUGCAAAGAACAAGAAAAAUGUGCAACCUCAGUGGGAAUUAGACAACCCCUCAUCAACCUACGCUGACAUCAGGGUCAACAGAAACUAAAGCACUCUUCCCUCUCUGCCCACAUGCAGCUGAAACCAAACAGACUGACUGCCUGGCUUUAACUAAAUCCUGCUAAAACUUGACAUUUCUUUAAGCAAAAGCCAACGAUGACAGAGCUGGCUGAUGCUCGUCAAAGAGAUGAGAUUGUUGGUUUGCCUUAGCAAAAUUUGUUUACUUCAUUCUGGCACGUUAGUAUUUAAUAAUUAACUAAACUCAGCUCUUACUGGCAGCAGAAAGCAGAAGGCAGAAUAUUUCCCCCUUUUCAUUUUAUGACUUUCGUAAAUCCAAAGAGCAGCAAUCUUCUCUUUAUGGCUUAAUUAUUUCCUUUAGUACGAAUCUGGUCAAUAUUAUAAUGCAAAAUGUUA
Molecule: non-coding RNA, 558 nt
Organism: Poecilia reticulata (guppy)
Lineage: Eukaryota; Metazoa; Chordata; Actinopteri; Cyprinodontiformes; Poeciliidae
Source: RefSeq, a predicted model, not a curated record